UACGAAGGGGCUAGCGUUGUUCGGAAUUACUGGGCGUAAAGCGCACGUAGGCGGGUCGUUAAGUCAGGGGUGAAAUCCCGGAGCUCAACUCCGGAACUGCCUUUGAUACUGGCGAUCUAGAGAUCGAGAGAGGUGAGUGGAAUUCCGAGUGUAGAGGUGAAAUUCGUAGAUAUUGGAAGAACACCAGUGGCGAAGGCGGCUCACUGGCUCGAUACUGACGCUGAGGUGCGAAAGCGUGGGGAGCAAACAGG
RNAcentral lists this ribosomal RNA (251 nucleotides) under uncultured bacterium. RNAcentral describes it as "partial 16S ribosomal RNA". It matches the Rfam family "Bacterial small subunit ribosomal RNA", at positions 524 to 776 of the family's 1533-position model. The record is from RNAcentral.